This is a non-coding RNA of Camellia sinensis, 503 nucleotides long. The record is from RefSeq and is a predicted model, not a curated record. NCBI's taxonomy places the organism in Eukaryota, Viridiplantae, Streptophyta, Magnoliopsida, Ericales, Theaceae.
CCGCCCAAAUACUCUGUGCUCUCUCCCUCUCCCACUCCCACUCCCACCUAUCCACGUCUCCUCCCUAUUCUCUCUUUAUCUCUCUCUCUCCCUCCCUCUCUGUUCUUCUUCUUUCCUAUCCUCCCUCUUCACUCCCGACGCUGCUUUCUAGUCCUCGAUUUCUACCUCUCGUCUUCUUUCUCUAUCGGGUUGUGUCUCAAACUCGGCUUGCAAGGUUUCUAAUUCAACCCACCUCUGACAAUAGCAAGGUUAGGGCUUUGCUCUUCUUUCUUCAAAAUUCUUCUUCUAUUUUUCUUUUUUCAUCCAAUUUUGUAUGUUGCUCAAUUUCAUUUACUUGGGCCAUGUGUGGUAAUGUUUGUUGUUGACCACCGCACAACAAACCAUCUCUGCCAAUACCAAGGGCAUAUAUGGGAAGAAGUGAGGGAAUUCAAGAACACAGUUUAUAAGCAAAACCAUGUGAACACAGUUUGCAUGUCAUCCAUAACUUCUCUGGAAUGCUUCUU